Molecule: ribosomal RNA, 229 nt
Filed under: uncultured bacterium
Lineage: Bacteria
Description: partial 16S ribosomal RNA
Rfam family: Bacterial small subunit ribosomal RNA
Source: RNAcentral
UACGAAGGGGGCUAGCGUUGCUCGGAAUCACUGGGCGUAAAGGGUGCGUAGGCGGGUCUUUAAGUCAGGGGUGAAAUCCUGGAGCUCAACUCCAGAACUGCCUUCGAUACUGGGAGUCUUGAGUUCGGGAGAGGUGAGUGGAACUGCGAGUGUAGAGGUGAAAUUCGUAGAUAUUCGCAAAGAACACCAGUGGCGAAGGCGGCUCACUGGCCCGAUACUGACGCUGAGG